This 74-nucleotide transfer RNA is filed under the name Cycloclasticus sp. symbiont of Bathymodiolus heckerae. It matches the Rfam family "tRNA". Rfam says of the family: Transfer RNA (tRNA) molecules are approximately 80 nucleotides in length. Their secondary structure includes four short double-helical elements and three loops (D, anti-codon, and T loops). The record is from Rfam by way of RNAcentral. Lineage: Bacteria; Pseudomonadati; Pseudomonadota; Gammaproteobacteria; Thiotrichales; Piscirickettsiaceae.
GCGCUCGUAGCUCAGCUGGAUAGAGUAUCGGCCUCCGAAGCCGAAGGUCGUGGGUUCGACUCCCGCCGAGCGCG